ACUUGAUAAUCAUAUAUUUAAAUAACUUGCGAAAAAUAAUCAUAUUGGUUUUGAAUAUUGAGUCGUGAAAUCUGAAAACUAGUAAAAUAUGAGACUAUAUUUGUGCAUUUUGUUUUUGUCUACACUUUGCAUUAUGACUACGGAAGCACAAAGAUGCGGUCCAAACAUGCGUCAUUUUGAAUGCAAGCCCUGCCAUUCAGUACCAUGUGGUACAAAUGCUCCGGAUAUUUGUCCCGCUAUUUGCAUUCAGCUACCAGGUUGUUACUGCGAACAGGGAUAUCGUGAAAAGAAUGGAAGAUGUGUCUUGCCUACUCAGUGCUGAGAACUGAUGUAAUAUUUCACCAAAGGGAUUCCUUUCAAAUCAAAUACUUUACCUAUUUUAGUUUCUUACUCCCCGUUCAGAAUAAAUAAUAUACAUUGUGACUUAUGGAACUAAUGAUAUGACUUUAAAAUAUAUUGCAUUGUUUUAUUCGAAUGACAAAACCUACUUUUUCGAGUAGGCUUUGUCAUAAUCAAUAAAAGUUCUACAAACAUUA
Molecule: long non-coding RNA, 536 nt
Organism: Leptinotarsa decemlineata (Colorado potato beetle)
Lineage: Eukaryota; Metazoa; Arthropoda; Insecta; Coleoptera; Chrysomelidae
Source: RefSeq, a predicted model, not a curated record